GUAUCAUGGCUCAGGAUGAACGCUAGCUACAGGCUUAACACAUGCAAGUCGAGGGGCGAGCGGGAUUGAAUCUUGCUUCAAUUGCCCGGCGACCGGCGCACGGGUGAGUAACGCGUAUCCAACCUUCCGUACACUCAGGGAUAGCCUUUCGAAAGAAAGAUUAAUAACCUGAUGGUAUCUUAAGCACACAUGUAAUUAAGAUUAAGAUUUAUCGGUGUACGAUGGGGAGUGCGUUCCAUUAGGUAGG
Molecule: ribosomal RNA, 247 nt
Filed under: uncultured bacterium
Lineage: Bacteria
Description: partial 16S ribosomal RNA
Rfam family: Bacterial small subunit ribosomal RNA
Source: RNAcentral